AGUGCAGAUAGUUCUGUUGUUUAGGAUGGAAAAGCAUGAGUAUCACGUUUCUAUAUUCAACGGACUGGUACUUGUAAAAUUUAGGCUCAUAAUCAUUUUAUUAUGCAGAGACUGGCAGAUGGUUUAAGUAGCUGGUUCCGGAGGCAAAAGCUAACAGGUGCAGCUGGGGAGCGCUUGAAGGAAGCACGCAAUAUCAACCGACCACUCUCACAACUCGGAUCGGAAUGAUGUUGCUCAUCUGAAAGAAGGCAACAUCAUGUGCUUGAAGACUUGUAGAGUAUGGAGAGUGAAUGGUCAAAUUUGAGGAAUCGUAUCUGCUGGCUUUGUAGUCCAAACAGGUUGUCUGGCUAACUUUCUUUUUCUCAUUUUCAACCAAUUAGUAUAGCUGUCAUGUUUUUUGAAUUCCUUGCCAUUGUUGAGUAGUAACUUGGCAUUUGUUUAUUAAAAGGUUUUAAUUAAGAUUAUGGUGUUCAUAACUUUGUAGUCA
This is a long non-coding RNA of Cucumis sativus (cucumber), 487 nucleotides long. RefSeq lists it as uncharacterized. Lineage: Eukaryota; Viridiplantae; Streptophyta; Magnoliopsida; Cucurbitales; Cucurbitaceae. The record is from RefSeq and is a predicted model, not a curated record. The transcript has 2 exons.